RNAcentral lists this ribosomal RNA (497 nucleotides) under uncultured bacterium. RNAcentral describes it as "partial 16S ribosomal RNA". It matches the Rfam family "Bacterial small subunit ribosomal RNA", at positions 28 to 507 of the family's 1533-position model. The record is from RNAcentral.
GAUGAACGCUGGCGGCGUGCCUAAUACAUGCAAGUCGAGCGAACAGACGAGGAGCUUGCUCCUCUGACGUUAGCGGCGGACGGGUGAGUAACACGUGGAUAACCUACCUAUAAGACUGGGAUAACUUCGGGAAACCGGAGCUAAUACCGGAUAAUAUAUUGAACCGCAUGGUUCAAUAGUGAAAGACGGUUUUGCUGUCACUUAUAGAUGGAUCCGCGCCGCAUUAGCUAGUUGGUAAGGUAACGGCUUUCCAAGGCGACGAUGCGUAGCCGACCUGAGAGGGUGAUCGGCCUCACUGGAACUGAGACACGGUCCAGACUCCUACGGGAGGCAGCAGUAGGGAAUCUUCCGCAAUGGGCGAAAGCCUGACGGAGCAACGCCGCGUGAGUGAUGAAGGUCUUCGGAUCGUAAAACUCUGUUAUUAGGGAAGAACAAAUGUGUAAGUAACUAUGCACGUCUUGACGGUACCUAAUCAGAAAGCCACGGCUAACUACGUG